GCGGGCGUGGUUCAGUGGCAGAACACGACCUUGCCAAGGUUGAGACGAGGGUUCGAUUCCCUUCGCCCGCUCCA
This 74-nucleotide transfer RNA is filed under the name Elusimicrobiota bacterium. Its description in RNAcentral is "Elusimicrobia bacterium (groundwater metagenome) tRNA-Gly". It matches the Rfam family "tRNA". Rfam says of the family: Transfer RNA (tRNA) molecules are approximately 80 nucleotides in length. Their secondary structure includes four short double-helical elements and three loops (D, anti-codon, and T loops). The record is from RNAcentral. Lineage: Bacteria; Pseudomonadati; Elusimicrobiota.